AUUGAACGCUGGCGGCAUGCUUUACACAUGCAAGUCGAACGGUAACAGGCUUUCUGGUGCUGACGCGUGGCGCACGGGGGUGUAUUGCACGGGAACGUACCCCGCGGUGGGGGGUGAUGAAGCGGAAGCUGUGCUACUACCGCAGGUGAUCUGAGGAUGUAAGCGGGGGUUCGGGCAGCAAUGUUUGGCCUCGCGCUGUUUGAGGGGCUGAUGUCGUAUUAGCUGGGUGGUGGGGUAAAGGGCUACCAAGGCGACGCUCCGUAGCUGGUCUGAGAGGACGAGCAGACACACGAGGACUGAGAGACGGCCCAGACUCCUGCGGGAGGCAGCAGUGCGGAAGUUGGGACAAUGGGCGCAAGCCUGAUCCAGCAAUGCCGCGUGAGGGAAGAAGGCCUUCGGGGUGUAAACCGCUUUUGGCAGGAACGAAACGGUGGCCGCUAAUACCGGGCGCUAAUGACGGUACCUGCAGAAUAAGCACCGGCUAACUACGUG
Molecule: ribosomal RNA, 492 nt
Filed under: uncultured bacterium
Lineage: Bacteria
Description: partial 16S ribosomal RNA
Rfam family: Bacterial small subunit ribosomal RNA
Source: RNAcentral